RNAcentral lists this ribosomal RNA (427 nucleotides) under uncultured bacterium. RNAcentral's name for it is "partial 16S ribosomal RNA". It matches the Rfam family "Bacterial small subunit ribosomal RNA", at positions 355 to 774 of the family's 1533-position model. The record is from RNAcentral.
UGGGGAAUAUUGCACAAUGGGCGCAAGCCUGAUGCAGCCAUGCCGCGUGUAUGAAGAAGGCCUUCGGGUUGUAAAGUACUUUAAGCGGGGAGGAAGGCGAUAAGGUUAAUAACCUUGUCGAUUGACGUUACCCGCAGAAGAAGCACCGGCUAACUCCGUGCCAGCCGCCGCGGUAAUACGGAGGGUGCAAGCGUUAAUCGGAAUUACUGGGCGUAAAGCGCACUCAGGCGGUCUGUCAAGUCGGAUGUGAAAUCCCCGGGCUCAACCUGGGAACUGCAUUCGAAACUGGCAGGCUAGAGUCUUGUAGAGGGGGGUAGAAUUCCAGGUGUAGCGGUGAAAUGCGUAGAGAUCUGGAGGAAUACCGGUGGCGAAGGCGGCCCCCUGGACAAAGACUGACGCUCAGGUGCGAAAGCGUGGGGAGCAAACA